GCUUCGGUAGUGCAACGGUUUAGCACGCGCUCCUGGAAAGAGUGAAAUAUGGGUUGGAAUCCCGCCAGACGCA
Parelaphostrongylus tenuis is the source of this 73-nucleotide non-coding RNA. NCBI's taxonomy places the organism in Eukaryota, Metazoa, Nematoda, Chromadorea, Rhabditida, Metastrongylidae. The record is from the annotation of a GenBank genome assembly.